UGAACGCUGGCGGAAUGCUUUACACAUGCAAGUCGAGCGGCAGCACGGGGGCAACCCUGGUGGCGAGCGGCGAACGGGUGAGUAAUACAUCGGAACAUGCCCAGUCGUGGGGGAUAACACUUCGAAAGAAGUGCUAAUACCGCAUACGUCCUGAGGGAGAAAGCGGGGGAUCGCAAGACCUCGCGCGAUUGGAGUGGCCGAUGUCAGAUUAGCUAGUUGGUGGGGUAAAGGCCUACCAAGGCAACGAUCUGUAGCUGGUCUGAGAGGAUGAUCAGCCACACUGGGACUGAGACACGGCCCAGACUCCUACGGGAGGCAGCAGUGGGGAAUUUUGGACAAUGGGGGCAACCCUGAUCCAGCCAUUCCGCGUGAGUGAAGAAGGCCUUCGGGUUGUAAAGCUCUUUCGGCAGGAACGAAACGGCGAGCUCUAACAUAGCUUGCUAAUGACGGUACCUGAAGAAGAAGCACCGGCUAACUACGUG
Molecule: ribosomal RNA, 482 nt
Filed under: uncultured bacterium
Lineage: Bacteria
Description: partial 16S ribosomal RNA
Rfam family: Bacterial small subunit ribosomal RNA
Source: RNAcentral